This 307-nucleotide long non-coding RNA is filed under the name Spirodela polyrhiza (greater duckweed). RNAcentral describes it as "long non-coding RNA (SPOL_LNC000244)". The record is from RNAcentral. Lineage: Eukaryota; Viridiplantae; Streptophyta; Magnoliopsida; Alismatales; Araceae.
GGGCAGAUCUCAGAGCAAGAUGAUGUGCAGUUGUUUCAAGAAUUCUAUCAUUACACCAAUAUAUCAUUGGUAAUUAAAAUGUUUUUAAUCCUCCAUCUCAUACUAUGAGUCAAGAGGAUACUGGAAACCGUCAGCAUUACCAUCACUAUAACUAUUAAAGGCCGUACAGAAUUCGCCUUUAGAUUUUAUGCCACUUGCAACCCAAUAAAGUUUACUUUGAACAAGUGUAAACUUUCAAAAGGGGGCCAUUUUUUUACAAAAUUAUUCAACCCAGAAGCAGAAACGGUCCAAAGGCGGAACUAAAUAA